ACUGGGGUCCUUUUCCACCUUGUGAGAAGGCCUUUCCUGUGUUUACACCCACCUGCAGCGUGGAUAAAGAGUUUCUGGCCGGGCGAGGUGGCUCACGUCUGUAAUCCCAGCACUUUGGGAGGCUGAGGCGGGCGGAUCACGAGCAAAAGCACACAAGCCUGUGGGAAAAUAAUUUGGCAAUAAGCAGCGAGAACCAUACAAAUACCAUGUUCUCUAGCUCAAGACUCUGAUUGCUGGGAAUUUACCCUGAUGAAAUAACCCGAAAGAAGGGGAAAACCACUCAGGGCAAGGGUGUGGCUCUGGAGUUACGUGCUUUGCCUUGACGGCACUAGAAAGCAAAGUUCCGAGGACUGUGUUGCAACUUGGAAGCCCGCGCAAGCAGCUGGAAGGGGUGCUGUGAUUACAGCCGCGUGAAGGCAUGCGCGCUGGGGCCUGGCCAGCGGGGUGCCUGGAGAGGUACCUGGUCCAUCCCUCCAGGCCCCUUAGAGAGAGGACUCAGAGAAGAGACUGAGGGAGAUGGGAUGUGCCAGGGUUUCCUGCUAGGAGCCUCAUCUUUCUACCCCUUCUCUGUUCCCGAGAACACAGUGGUCAUCCCCUCUGGAAGAUGAAGUAACAGGGCACCAUCUUGGAAGCAAAGAGAGCAGCCCUCGCCAGACUCCAAGUCUGCUGGAGCCUUAAUCUUGGACUUCCCAACCUCUAGAGUUGUGAGAAAAUAAAUUUCUAUUUAUAAUUUACCCAGUCCAUGGAGUUGUGUUACAGCAGCACAAGUGGACUAAGACGCUGUCAACACUUGUUAAUUUCUGUUGUUAUGCCAUCGUAGUGGUUGUAAACUGAUAUCAUGUUGUGAUUUUGAUUUGCAUUUCCCUGAUGAUUAGUGAUGUUGAGCAUCUAUCUGUUCAUGUGCUUGUUGGCCCUUUGUGUAUCUUCUUUGAAUAAAUGUCUAUUCAAGUUCUUUGUCCAUUUUU
Molecule: long non-coding RNA, 965 nt
Organism: Homo sapiens (human)
Lineage: Eukaryota; Metazoa; Chordata; Mammalia; Primates; Hominidae
Source: Ensembl